Molecule: long non-coding RNA, 1707 nt
Filed under: Homo sapiens (human)
Lineage: Eukaryota; Metazoa; Chordata; Mammalia; Primates; Hominidae
Description: HSALNT0175637
Source: RNAcentral
CUCAUGUCGGCCCCAGCCCUGAGGCUACCUGACCUGACAAAACUCUUUACACUCUAUGUGUCAGAAAAAUAAAAAAUGGCAAUUGGAGUUUUAACCCAGACUGUAAGGCCCUGGACAAGGCCAGUGGCCUAUCUCUCAAAACAACUAGAGCAAGUUUCCAGAGGGUAGCCCCCACGGUCUAAGAGCCCUAGCAGCCAUGGCCCUGUUAGCACAAGAAGCAAAUAAACUAACCCUUAGGCAAAACCUGAAUAUAAAGGCCCCCUAUGCUGUAGUAACUUUAAUGACUACCAAAGGACAUCAUUAGUUAACAAAUGCUAGAUUAACCAAGUACCAAAGCUUGCUAUGUGAAAAUCCCCCAUAACCAUUAAAGUUUCCAACACCCUAAACCCUGCCACCUUGCCCCCGGUAUCAGAUUGCCCAGUUGAACAUAACUGUGUAGAGGUGUUGGACUCAGUUUAUUCUAGCAGGCCCAACCUCCAAGACCAUCCUUAAACAGAAGUAGACUGUGGAUGGGAGCAGCUUCACCACCCCUGCAAAGUGACUCUGAAGAAGACGACAAGCCCUGCUCCAGUCACACCCGGAAGCUGACUGGUCCACGCACGGCCAAAGCAUGAGAAAACUCAUCACAGUACUCUUUUUCCUUAAAAUUUAGACUUUUACAGUAAGGACUUCAAUUGACCUUCCUCAGACUGAAGACUGUUCCCAGUGUGUACAUCAAGUCACUGAGAUGGAGUCUCCCAUUGUCACCAAGGCUGGAGUGCACUGGUGCGAUCUCGGCUCACUGCAACCUCCGCCUCCCAGGUUGAAGCGAUUCUCCUGCCUCAGCCUCCCAAGUAGCUGGGACUACAGGUGACUGCCACCACACCCAGCUAAUUUUUUUUUUGUAUUUUUAGUAGAGACGGGGUUUCACUAUGUUGGCCAGGCUGGUCUCAAACUACUGACUUCGUGAUCUGCCCACCUCGGCCUCCCAAAGGGCUGGGAUUACAGGCGUGAGCCUCCGCGCCCGACCCUUUUUAUCAUUCUAUCAACAUAACCAGUGUUCUCCUUUCAUCUUAGACUCAAACGCUUAAUGUAUUAGUCAACCAGUUGCUUGUCUAACUUUAUUCUUUAAUUUGUUAACAAAAUCUACCAGUUACUCUUUUUCUACAUGUUUUAGAUAUAACCAUUAUUUCCAUUUCCACUCACUUUAUUUCAGCUCAGGUCUUAAUUUAGUCUUCUUUUUUCACAAAUGUUUCACUAAACAUUUGUGAAAUGUUAAUCUCUGCACUUAUAAUUUCCCUGUUUUUAACCUAUUUACCUCCCCAGACAACGAGUAACUUAAUAAAAUUCCCCACUUCCUACUUGUCAAUCUGCAAAUAAUAUCAUGUCAGUGAAUGUGCUGGUGAUUCAGGCAAUUAUACAGAUCUUUAUAAAACUUCAUGUCUUGGCAAAAAUGUAUUAUUGACUGGUGGUAAAAUAUUUGCAUAGGAAGUUAUAUAUAGUGUAAGUAAUACAUAUGUGUGUGUGACUGUGACUGUGUGGGUAUGGGUGGAUGGUACAAAUCAUGCCCAACUGUAACUAUUAAGAAUGCUAAAAAAAAAAAAAAACCCUAAGAACCAAAUAUUAUCAAACUGUCAAAGUUUAACUCAACUUUCAGCCAGCCUUCUUUUUUUCUGUAUUUGCACAGUUAUAAUCAAACAGUUAAAUCUUGCUUACUACAUGUUGACU